Molecule: ribosomal RNA, 496 nt
Filed under: uncultured bacterium
Lineage: Bacteria
Description: partial 16S ribosomal RNA
Rfam family: Bacterial small subunit ribosomal RNA
Source: RNAcentral
AACGAACGCUGGCGGCGCGUCUUACGCAUGCAAGUCGAACGGCAAGAGAGGAGCUUGCUUCUCUCCUAGAGUGGGGGACUGGUGAGGAACACGUGGGUAAUCUACCCUUAAGAUGGGGAUAGCUGCUAGAAAUAGCAGGUAAUACCGAAUACACUCGGCAUAUCACAAGAGGUGUUGAGGAAAGGAAGCUACGGCUUCGCUUGAGGAUGAGCUUGCGUCCCAUUAGCUAGUUGGUGAGGUAAAGGCCCACCAAGGCGACGAUGGGUAUCCGGCCUGAGAGGGUGAACGGACACAUUGGGACUGAGAUACGGCCCAAACUCCUACGGGAGGCAGCAGCUAAGAAUAUUCCGCAAUGGACGGAAGUCUGACGGAGCGACGCCGCGUGGAUGAAGAAGGCUGAAAAGUUGUAAAAUCCUUUUGUUGAUGAAGAAUAAGGGUGAGAGGGAAUGCUCAUCUGAUGACGGUAAUCGACGAAUAAGCCCCGGCUAAUUACGUG